GCAACUCAAACGCUUUUCGCCGUCGCCGGUCGCUGAUUACGAGCUGCGCGAUUUGCGGCUUCAAAAUAUUCUCCAAAAGCCGGUUGUUUCGCGACAUCAACCCGAACAGUGACUGUAACUCAACCAUAAUAGUGCCUUCGGUCGUUUUGCGUGAAAAUCUUGGUCAGCAGGGAAAACCGAUUUUCCAUUCGAACUGUGACGUUUAGCGUCAAAUUGAUUGGGGGCAUUGACUAGACGUGCGAACUCCAUGUUGUUUUGAAUUAUGCAGUCUUCUUUGGCUGAGCCGGUACAAAGAAUUUAUGAUAAAACAGAGACAAGUACUGGUCUCUGGAUAAAAUCGUGCGUCAAUCUGCGUGACGUCUUUCAAUUCUCUUGCAUGGUUGCCAAGCCUGAUGCAAGCAAGCUGCGCUUUCAAUUUGGGCGUGUCAGGCAGCGGUGUUGCUUUGCAGCUCAAUACCGCCGUCAAAGCAAACACACCUCUGAAGACGGUAGUCACGCCUGCCAGCGAAACGUUGCGAUCAAUUUCCUAUCCACGACGUCCUGAGAACCACUCCGAUAUGCAUAUUUGAGGCGUUCGAGUCUUUAGCAAGGAAAAUAUCGUCGGAUAAAAAUCGUUACCGCUUAAAAAUGGCUUAUGAUGAACCGAAAGUGUCGAUUUUUUCGGACCUGAAAGUGUUAGGCUUAUUUUUCAAUAAACUCGUUGCAUUC
Dendroctonus ponderosae (mountain pine beetle) is the source of this 708-nucleotide long non-coding RNA. RefSeq lists it as uncharacterized. The transcript has 3 exons. The record is from RefSeq and is a predicted model, not a curated record. NCBI's taxonomy places the organism in Eukaryota, Metazoa, Arthropoda, Insecta, Coleoptera, Curculionidae.